Molecule: ribosomal RNA, 1040 nt
Filed under: Sulfurisoma sp.
Lineage: Bacteria; Pseudomonadati; Pseudomonadota; Betaproteobacteria; Nitrosomonadales; Sterolibacteriaceae
Description: partial 23S ribosomal RNA
Rfam family: Bacterial large subunit ribosomal RNA
Source: RNAcentral
UGGGGGGACCAUCCUCCAAGGCUAAAUACUCGUAAUCGACCGAUAGUGAACCAGUACCGUGAGGGAAAGGCGAAAAGAACCCCGGGAGGGGAGUGAAAUAGAUCCUGAAACCGCAUGCAUACAAACAGUGGGAGCCCCUGCACAAAGAGUCUUCGGGGUUCUUUGGAGGAGCGCGAAGCGCGACUCAAAAGAACAGCAAAGAUGAAAUAGAUCUUGUGCAGGCGAAGAACCCGGAGGGUUCUUCGUGCAGGGGUGACUGCGUACCUUUUGUAUAAUGGGUCAGCGACUUACGUUCAGUAGCGAGCUUAACCGAAUAGGGGAGGCGCAGCGAAAGCGAGUCUGAAUAGGGCGAUUCAGUUGCUGGGCGUAGACCCGAAACCAGAUGAUCUACCCAUGGCCAGGAUGAAGGUGGGGUAACACUCACUGGAGGUCCGAACCCACUAACGUUGAAAAGUUAGGGGAUGAGCUGUGGGUAGGGGUGAAAGGCUAAACAAAUCUGGAAAUAGCUGGUUCUCCCCGAAAACUAUUUAGGUAGUGCCUCAUAUGGACACUUCCGGGGGUAGAGCACUGUAAUGGUUGAGGGGGUCGUUUAGAUCUACCUCGCCAUAGCAAACUCCGAAUACCGGAAAGUGAUGUACGGGAGACAGACGGUGGGUGCUAACGUUCAUCGUCAAGAGGGAAACAACCCAGACCGCCAUCUAAGGCCCCCAAGCCGUGGUUAAGUGGAAAACGAGGUGGGAAGGCAUAGACAGCCAGGAGGUUGGCUUAGAAGCAGCCAUUCUUUAAAGAAAGCGUAAUAGCUCACUGGUCGAGUCGGCCUGCGCGGAAGAUUUAACGGGGCUAAAACCAUAUACCGAAUCUGCGGAUGUGCACGAAGUGCACGUGGUAGGGGAGCGUUCUGUAGGCCUGCGAAGGUGCAUUGAGAAGUGUGCUGGAGGUAUCAGAAGUGCGAAUGCUGACCUGAGUAACGAUAAUGAGGGUGAAAAACCCUCACGCCGGAAGUCCCAGGUUUCCUGCACGACGUUAAUCGGAGCAGGGUG